UACGUAGGGUGCAAGCGUUGUCCGGAAUUAUUGGGCGUAAAGAGCUCGUAGGCGGUCUGUCGCGUCGGAUGUGAAAAUCCAGGGCUUAACCCUGGACCUGCAUUCGAUACGGGCAGACUAGAGUUCGGUAGGGGAGACUGGAAUUCCUGGUGUAGCGGUGAAAUGCGCAGAUAUCAGGAGGAACACCGGUGGCGAAGGCGGGUCUCUGGGCCGAUACUGACGCUGAGGAGCGAAAGCCAGGGGAGCAAACGGG
RNAcentral lists this ribosomal RNA (253 nucleotides) under uncultured bacterium. RNAcentral describes it as "partial 16S ribosomal RNA". It matches the Rfam family "Bacterial small subunit ribosomal RNA", at positions 524 to 776 of the family's 1533-position model. The record is from RNAcentral.